GGCGAGGUAGCUCAGCUGGUUAGAGCGUCGGAAUCAUAAUCCGCAGGUCGUGGGUUCGAAUCCCUCCCUCGCUA
This 74-nucleotide transfer RNA is filed under the name Bacteroidota bacterium. RNAcentral's name for it is "tRNA-Met". It matches the Rfam family "tRNA". From Rfam's summary of the family: Transfer RNA (tRNA) molecules are approximately 80 nucleotides in length. Their secondary structure includes four short double-helical elements and three loops (D, anti-codon, and T loops). The record is from RNAcentral. Lineage: Bacteria; Pseudomonadati; Bacteroidota.